Molecule: ribosomal RNA, 466 nt
Filed under: uncultured bacterium
Lineage: Bacteria
Description: partial 16S ribosomal RNA
Rfam family: Bacterial small subunit ribosomal RNA
Source: RNAcentral
GAUGAACGCUGGCGGCGUGCUUAACACAUGCAAGUCGAACGGAAAGGCUCCUGCUUGCAGGGGUACUCGAGUGGCGAACGGGUGAGUAACACGUGGGUGAUCUGCCCUGCACUUCGGGAUAAGCCUGGGAAACUGGGUCUAAUACCGGAUAGGACGAUGGUUUGGAUGCCAUUGUGGAAAGUUUUUCGGUGUGGGAUGAGCUCGCGGCCUAUCAGCUUGUUGGUGGGGUAAUGGCCUACCAAGGCGUCGACGGGUAGCCGGCCUGAGAGGGUGUACGGCCACAUUGGGACUGAGAUACGGCCCAGACUCCUACGGGAGGCAGCAGUGGGGAAUAUUGCACAAUGGGCGCAAGCCUGAUGCAGCGACGCCGCGUGGGUGAUGACGGCCUUCGGGUUGUAAACUCCAUUCGCUAGGGACGAAGCGUUUUGUGACGGUACCUGGAGAAGAAGCACCGGCUAACUACGUG